UCAAGUGAAGAAGCGCAUACGGUGGAUGCCUUGGCAGUCAGAGGCGAUGAAAGACGUGGUAGCCUGCGAAAAGCUUCGGGGAGUCGGCAAACAGACUUUGAUCCGGAGAUCUCUGAAUGGGGGAACCCACCUAGGAUAACCUAGGUAUCUUGUACUGAAUCCAUAGGUGCAAGAGGCGAACCAGGGGAACUGAAACAUCUAAGUACCCUGAGGAAAAGAAAUCAACCGAGAUUCCCUUAGUAGUGGCGAGCGAACGGGGAUUAGCCCUUAAGCUUCAUUGAUUUUAGCGGAACGCUCUGGAAAGUGCGGCCAUAGUGGGUGAUAGCCCCGUACGCGAAAGGAUCUUUGAAGUGAAAUCGAGUAGGACGGAGCACGAGAAACUUUGUCUGAACAUGGGGGGACCAUCCUCCAAGGCUAAAUACUACUGACUGACCGAUAGUGAACCAGUACCGUGAGGGAAAGGCGAAAAGAACCCCGGAGAGGGGAGUGAAAUAGAACCUGAAACCGUAUGCGUACAAGCAGUGGGAGCCUACUUGUUAGGUGACUGCGUACCUUUUGUAUAAUGGGUCAGCGACUUAUAUUCAGUGGCAAGCUUAACCGUAUAGGGUAGGCGUAGCGAAAGCGAGUCUUAAUAGGGCGUUUAGUCGCUGGGUAUAGACCCGAAACCGGGCGAUCUAUCCAUGAGCAGGUUGAAGGUUAGGUAACACUGACUGGAGGACCGAACCCACUCCCGUUGAAAAGGUAGGGGAUGACUUGUGGAUCGGAGUGAAAGGCUAAUCAAGCUCGGAGAUAGCUGGUUCUCCUCGAAAGCUAUUUAGGUAGCGCCUCAUGUAUCACUCUGGGGGGUAGAGCACUGUUUCGGCUAGGGGGUCAUCCCGACUUACCAAACCGAUGCAAACUCCGAAUACCCAGAAGUGCCGAGCAUGGGAGACACACGGCGGGUGCUAACGUCCGUCGUGAAAAGGGAAACAACCCAGACCGCCAGCUAAGGUCCCAAAGUUGUGGUUAAGUGGUAAACGAUGUGGGAAGGCUUAGACAGCUAGGAGGUUGGCUUAGAAGCAGCCACCCUUUAAAGAAAGCGUAAUAGCUCACUAGUCGAGUCGGCCUGCGCGGAAGAUGUAACGGGGCUCAAACCACACACCGAAGCUGCGGGUGUCACGCAAGUGACGCGGUAGAGGAGCGUUCUGUAAGCCUGUGAAGGUGAGUUGAGAAGCUUGCUGGAGGUAUCAGAAGUGCGAAUGCUGACAUGAGUAACGACAAUGGGUGUGAAAAACACCCACGCCGAAAGACCAAGGGUUCCUGCGCAACGUUAAUCGACGCAGGGUUAGUCGGUUCCUAAGGCGAGGCUGAAAAGCGUAGUCGAUGGGAAACAGGUUAAUAUUCCUGUACUUCUGGUUACUGCGAUGGAGGGACGGAGAAGGCUAGGCCAGCUUGGCGUUGGUUGUCCAAGUUUAAGGUGGUAGGCUGAAAUCUUAGGUAAAUCCGGGGUUUCAAGGCCGAGAGCUGAUGACGAGUCGUCUUUUAGAUGACGAAGUGGUUGAUGCCAUGCUUCCAAGAAAAGCUUCUAAGCUUCAGGUAACCAGGAACCGUACCCCAAACCGACACAGGUGGUCGGGUAGAGAAUACCAAGGCGCUUGAGAGAACUCGGGUGAAGGAACUAGGCAAAAUGGCACCGUAACUUCGGGAGAAGGUGCGCCGGCUAGGGUGAAGGAUUUACUCCGUAAGCUCUGGCUGGUCGAAGAUACCAGGCCGCUGCGACUGUUUAUUAAAAACACAGCACUCUGCAAACACGAAAGUGGACGUAUAGGGUGUGACGCCUGCCCGGUGCCGGAAGGUUAAUUGAUGGGGUUAGCGCAAGCGAAGCUCUUGAUCGAAGCCCCGGUAAACGGCGGCCGUAACUAUAACGGUCCUAAGGUAGCGAAAUUCCUUGUCGGGUAAGUUCCGACCUGCACGAAUGGCGUAACGAUGGCGGCGCUGUCUCCACCCGAGACUCAGUGAAAUUGAAAUCGCUGUGAAGAUGCAGUGUAUCCGCGGCUAGACGGAAAGACCCCGUGAACCUUUACUGUAGCUUUGCACUGGACUUUGAGCCUGCUUGUGUAGGAUAGGUGGGAGGCUUUGAAGCGUGGACGCCAGUUCGCGUGGAGCCAUCCUUGAAAUACCACCCUGGCAUGCUUGAGGUUCUAACUCUGGUCCGUAAUCCGGAUCGAGGACAGUGUAUGGUGGGCAGUUUGACUGGGGCGGUCUCCUCCUAAAGAGUAACGGAGGAG
This 2267-nucleotide ribosomal RNA is filed under the name Pseudomonas aeruginosa. RNAcentral's name for it is "bacterial LSU rRNA". It matches the Rfam family "Bacterial large subunit ribosomal RNA", at positions 3 to 2308 of the family's 2925-position model. Lineage: Bacteria; Pseudomonadati; Pseudomonadota; Gammaproteobacteria; Pseudomonadales; Pseudomonadaceae. The record is from RNAcentral.